GACGAACGCUGGCGGCGUGCUUAACACAUGCAAGUCGUGCGGUAAGGACCUUUCGGGGGUACACGCGCAGCGAACGGGUGAGUAACACGUGAGCAACCUGCACUUCACUUUGGGAUAACCGCCGGAAACGGUGGAGAAUCCCGGAACUGACUUCCACACGCCUGAGGGGUGGUGGAAAGCAUUCGGGUGGUGGGGAAUGGGCUCGCGGCCUAUCAGCUUGUUGGUGGGGUGAUUGCCUGCCAACGAUUAGAGCGGUAGACGGCCUGUGAGGGUGACCGGCCACACUGGUUGUGAGAGACGGCCCAUACACAUACGUGCGGCAGGAGUGGGUAAUAAAUGACAAACGGCGAAAGCCUGAUCCAGCAACGCCGCGCGAGGGAAGACGGCCUUCGGGUUGUACACCUCUUUCGCCCGCAACGAAGCGAGAGUGACGGUAGCAGGUAAAGAAGCACCGGCCAACUACGU
This 465-nucleotide ribosomal RNA is filed under the name uncultured bacterium. Its description in RNAcentral is "partial 16S ribosomal RNA". It matches the Rfam family "Bacterial small subunit ribosomal RNA", at positions 28 to 506 of the family's 1533-position model. The record is from RNAcentral.